RNAcentral lists this ribosomal RNA (305 nucleotides) under Polypedates pleurostictus. RNAcentral describes it as "partial 12S ribosomal RNA". It matches the Rfam family "Bacterial small subunit ribosomal RNA", at positions 936 to 1412 of the family's 1533-position model. Lineage: Eukaryota; Metazoa; Chordata; Amphibia; Anura; Rhacophoridae. The record is from RNAcentral.
AACCUGUUCUACAAUCGAUACUCCACGAUAUACCUAACCAUUUCUUGCUACUCAGCCCGUAUACCUCCGUCGUAAGCUUACCGUAUGAACGCACAACAGUAAGCCCAAGGGUUUAAUACCAUAACGUCAGGUCAAGGUGCAGCUCAUGAAAUGGAAGCAAUGGGCUACAAUUUCUAAUUUAGAACAAACGAAACACUGCAUGAAACACAGUCAUGAAGGAGGAUUUAGCAGUAAAUAGGGAAUAGAGAGCCCUAUUAAACUCGGCCCUGGGACAUGUACAAACCGCCCGUCACCCUCUUCAACAG